Molecule: ribosomal RNA, 496 nt
Filed under: uncultured bacterium
Lineage: Bacteria
Description: partial 16S ribosomal RNA
Rfam family: Bacterial small subunit ribosomal RNA
Source: RNAcentral
GAUGAACGCUGGCGGCGUGCCUAAUACAUGCAAGUCGAGCGAACGGACGAGAAGUUUGCUUCUUUGUUUUUAGCGGCGACCGGGGGGGUACCACUUGGUAAACCUCCUUAUAAGCUGGGAAAAAUUUGGGGAACCGGGGGUUAUACCGGGUAAAAUUUUUAAACCCAUUGGUUAAAAGUUAAAGACCGGCUUUCUUGUCCUUAAAGGUUGAUCCGCGCUGCAUUAGCUAGUUGGUAAGGUAACGGCUUACCAAGGCAACGAUGCAUAGCCGACCUGAGAGGGUGAUCGGCCACACUGGAACUGAGACACGGUCCAGACUCCUACGGGAGGCAGCAGUAGGGAAUCUUCCGCAAUGGGCGAAAGCCUGACGGAGCAACGCCGCGUGAGUGAUGAAGGUCUUCGGAUCGUAAAACUCUGUUAUUAGGGAAGAACAUAUGUGUAAGUAACUGUGCACAUCUUGACGGUACCUAAUCAGAAAGCCACGGCUAACUACGUG